This 74-nucleotide transfer RNA is filed under the name Friedmanniomyces endolithicus. Its description in RNAcentral is "tRNA-Arg". It matches the Rfam family "tRNA". From Rfam's summary of the family: Transfer RNA (tRNA) molecules are approximately 80 nucleotides in length. Their secondary structure includes four short double-helical elements and three loops (D, anti-codon, and T loops). Lineage: Eukaryota; Fungi; Ascomycota; Dothideomycetes; Mycosphaerellales; Teratosphaeriaceae. The record is from RNAcentral.
GGUCUACUGGCGUAAUUGGAUAGCGCACCUGACUACGAAUCAGGAGGUUGCAGGUUCGAGUCCUGCGUGGAUUG